This 1570-nucleotide long non-coding RNA is filed under the name Equus asinus (donkey). RNAcentral describes it as "lncRNA (ENSEASG00005033749.1)". The record is from RNAcentral. Lineage: Eukaryota; Metazoa; Chordata; Mammalia; Perissodactyla; Equidae.
CCGCGAGUGCGGCCUCGGCCUGCGGCGGCUCCAGGAAUAUUAGCCCUGAGCUAACUACUGCCAGUCCUCCUCUUUUUUGCUGAGGAUGCCUGGCCCUGAGCUAACAUCUGUGCCCAUCUUCCUCUACUUUAUAUGUGGGACGCCUACCACAGCAUGGCAUACCAAGCGAUGCCUUGUCCGCACCCGGGAUCCGAACCGGCAAACCCUGGGCCGCUGAGAAGCAGAACGUGCGCACCUAACCGCUGCGCCACCGGGCCGGCCCCUAUAUAUUUUAUAUAAAGGACUUGAGCAUCCCUAGAUUUUGGUAUCCGCAGGGAGUCCUGGAACCAGUAUGCUGCGGAUGCUGAGGGACAGCUAUACGUAUUCUGCAAUGUGCUGUUCUUUCUCUGCAUGGCUUUGAGAUUUCUCCACGUUGGGGACUGUAGCUUGAGUUCUAGUUUGCUCAUUUCACCCGUUGUCUAGUGUUCUUCUAAUUACUGUGUCGCUACACCCAUUCCCCUGAGGAUGGACAUUCUGGUGUCCAGUGCUUGCUCUAAGAACAAGGCUGUGAUGUAUGGUCUUGAAUGUGUUGCACUCUGAGCUGUGCUCCUUCAGAGAAGGGAACUGGUUCAUUUCUCUUCACAUCCCCCUCAGCACCUAGCUUAGUUCUUUAAAUUGUGCUUGAUGAAUGUGCUUUGUCUGCCCGAGGAAGCGGUCUUCCCAUUAUAUUGUACUCUGUACUCGCAGUAGGUGUAGUUGCUGUUCAUCUCUUCCCAAGAGGACAGAGGGGCUGCUGUGCUCACAGCAGGUGGGGGCCCACCGGGGGCCUCCAUGUCUGUUGGGGCAGUUGGUCCUCAAAGCCAUCCCCAGAGAAGGAGGCCCUCUUGACUCCAUGAUGGAAGGACCUGGGUGGUGAUGGAAGGACCAUGAUGGUCCUGGUGGUGAGGAGGAAGCCAAGGCUUGGAGAUAUGAGCUAAGUGCCCAGAGUUGGGUGGUUGGCCAAUGGCACAACCAGCCAUGGAAUGUUGAGGUGUGAGUGAGAUAAAGCCCCAGCCCCCAAGGGGACAAACCUCCUUGUGGUGGGUAGAUAGGACAGCUUCAGUGGUGAAGCACUCCUGUCAUGUUCUUGACACAGUGACAGAAGUGAUUGAGCUGGACCUUGACCAAUACAGGGUUAUAAGAGACAGAAAGGCCUGGAUGGGAGUCUGAAGGUGUUCAGAGGAUGAUAGGUGUCCCUUUUGGUCUAAGGGCUAGUGACAGCUUACAGGGGAAGGAGCGUUUUGAGCCAGAUCACGAGGAAGAGCCUCAAGCAGGAGGCAGUAGGGCGCCAGAAGUCAGGUGGCACACUCUGAGGCGUUUUGGGGAGUCAGGGAGGUUGGGGCAGGAGGUAGGAAACCAGUUGGGGUGUCACUGCUGCAUUCUAACCCGAAGUGGUAGCUGUGAAGGAAUAAGGGAUGACUGUCUGAGAUGGGAGAGAGGAAGGAAUCCAAACAAGAGAGUCUGUCGGACCCCAGGGGUACAAAGGAAGAGAGAUCAUUGAGACCCAGUAACAGAACUAGACCAGUUGGGAGGGCUGUUAGCUGUAUUAGGC